CCGCAGCUCAAGUAGUGACCGAUAUUAUUGGGCCUAAAGCGUCCGUAGCUUGUUGUUUAAGUCUCCGGUGAAAUUGUUGCGCUCAACGUAACAGCCGGCUGGAGAUACUGAACGACUUGUGACCGGGAAGAGGUAGGGGUAUUUCAUGGGUAGGGGUUAAAUCCUAUAAUCCAUGGAGGACCACCUGUGGCGAAAGCGCCUACCUUGAACGGGUCAGACAGUGAGGGACGAAAGCCAGGGGAGCAAACGGGAUUAGAGACCCGAGUAGUCC
RNAcentral lists this ribosomal RNA (271 nucleotides) under uncultured archaeon. RNAcentral describes it as "partial 16S ribosomal RNA". It matches the Rfam family "Archaeal small subunit ribosomal RNA", at positions 477 to 747 of the family's 1478-position model. The record is from RNAcentral.